This 890-nucleotide ribosomal RNA is filed under the name uncultured bacterium. Its description in RNAcentral is "bacterial SSU rRNA". It matches the Rfam family "Bacterial small subunit ribosomal RNA", at positions 8 to 879 of the family's 1533-position model. The record is from RNAcentral.
AGAGUUUGAUCAUGGCUCAGGACGCACGCUGGCGGCAUGCAUUAUACAUGCAAGUCGAGCGAACAGAUGAAGUGCUUGCACUUCUGACGUUAGCGGCGAACGGGUGAGUAACACGUAAGGAAUCUACCUAUAAGCGGGGGAUAACAUUCGGAAACGGGUGCUAAUACCGCAUAAUAUCUUCUUCCGCAUGGAAGAAGAUUGAAAGACGGCUCUGCUGUCACUUAUAGAUGACCUUGCGGUGCAUUAGUUAGUUGGUGGGGUAAUGGCCUACCAAGACGAUGAUGCAUAGCCGACCUGAGAGGGUGAUCGGCCACAUUGGGACUGAGACACGGCCCAAACUCCUACGGGAGGCAGCAGUAGGGAAUCUUCCGCAAUGGGCGAAAGCCUGACGGAGCAAUGCCGCGUGAGUGAAGAAGGCCUUCGGGUCGUAAAACUCUGUUAUAAGAGAAGAACAAAUUGUAGAGUAACUGCUACAGUCUUGACGGUAUCUUAUCAGAAAGCCACGGCUAACUACGUGCCAGCAGCCGCGGUAAUACGUAGGUGGCAAGCGUUGUCCGGAUUUAUUGGGCGUAAAGGGAGCGCAGGUGGUUUCUUAAGUCUGAUGUGAAAGCCCACGGCUUAACCGUGGAGGGUCAUUGGAAACUGGGAAACUUGAGUACAGAAGAGGAAUGUGGAACUCCAUGUGUAGCGGUGGAAUGCGUAGAUAUAUGGAAGAACACCAGUGGCGAAGGCGACAUUCUGGUCUGUUACUGACACUGAGGCUCGAAAGCGUGGGGAGCAAACAGGAUUAGAUACCCUGGUAGUCCACGCCGUAAACGAUGAGUGCUAGGUGUUGGAGGGUUUCCGCCCUUCAGUGCCGCAGUUAACGCAUUAAGCACUCCGCCUGGGGA